Fundulus heteroclitus (mummichog) is the source of this 207-nucleotide long non-coding RNA. RefSeq lists it as uncharacterized. The transcript is spliced from 3 exons. Lineage: Eukaryota; Metazoa; Chordata; Actinopteri; Cyprinodontiformes; Fundulidae. The record is from RefSeq and is a predicted model, not a curated record.
GUGGGCCAGUGUCUGCAGGAGUAUCUCAAGGAGAACCAGAUAGAAUUCACAUGCCACUGUGGAGCGCAGCAGUCGUCCCUGCAGAGCUCUUUCUCCACCCUGCCGAAUGUGCUGAUCCUGCACCUGAAGCGCUUUAUAGUCACCAGGUCCUACACUGUCAACAAGAUGAAGAAUCCCAUCACUUUGUCAAAAGAACUUGUGCUGAAG